Long non-coding RNA from Engraulis encrasicolus (European anchovy), 2836 nucleotides. RefSeq lists it as uncharacterized. The transcript is spliced from 4 exons. The record is from RefSeq and is a predicted model, not a curated record. Lineage: Eukaryota; Metazoa; Chordata; Actinopteri; Clupeiformes; Engraulidae.
CGCACUGUCCUAGUUCAGCCAGCCGCCCGCGCCAGAGAGAGCCGAGGUCGACUCAUCCCGAAGUAGCUGACGGUCGACUCACCCCGAAGAAGCUCAAAUGUCCUUCUCUUUCGUGAGGAUUUCGCAACUAGCAAAAACUCAGUGCAGUGGAAUGCCCGGAGGUCCUGGUCAACAAAAGAAAAGGGAAGUGACCGAACCUGAAGAAGUCAAACUACUGUCCGGAUUCUCCACAAGGGCAAAAUGCUGGAGUGAUGGAGGGGCAUUUAGAUGGAGGUAAUGAAGAAAGACCCAGACAACACAACAGUGGAUGAAGUGAUGUCUGCUACUUUCUCGCUUCGCCGUAAAGAAACAGUUGGGGAUCAACCCAUGGUUGCCGACAGCAUGGAGAGAUGGCCGGCCAUGUUUUCUGAACGACAGGCCCAUGGUGACACACUUGGAGAAGCAACGAAAGACAUUCACCUUGGAAUUCUGAUUAGCUACGAAGUCAACCAGGAGGGAGCCUUUCCAGCAGCUUGUUUCGGAAGUUGUGGACUCGAGCUGAGGCGUUGUCUGGUUGUAUUUUCACUACCACACGUUGCAGAAACGAAUACGUACUUCAUGGCGCUCGGACACUGCAGGUUAACCGCAUAUAUUAUGCCUAACAGCAAGGCCACACCGUUGCCAUAUCGUUUAAAAUUGUGUAGCACAACGAUUUCCUCCACAACAACUGCCACAUGGAAGACAUCUGCUGGAGGUUGGAGCUGUAGACCUGGUAUGUUAGUCAAGUCUAGGCACUGUGUGUGCAUGUGCAUAUACAGAGGCGCGCACGCACACACACACUUCAGUUGAGUGUUUCAGGGCCAUUUUGUGUCCCUUUCUAUUCCUUAAACCAGUGUUUCUCAACAGUGGUGCCAUGGCACCCUGGGGUGCCAAACACCCCCCUCAGGGGUGCCGCGGAAACGUGGCUGACGGAAUGUGAAAAUGACCUAAAUAGAUAAAUAAGUUAUGUAAUAUAAUACAUAUUUGUCUAAAUUAAUGCUUAGUCAGUGGAAUCUUUCAUCCACCAUUUACGUUUACAUUUUUCAUCCACUAUUUACACAAUAAAGUACAUUUAGGUCACCCCAGUAUGGCCUACACAUAGCCUGUCGAAGAUAAAGCUGCAACUUUGAACGUCUCCAAAUGUGUUACUUAUCUAAGUUUGUGUGGUAUCGGAUGCAAUACCAGGUUACGGCUUGUUGGUUUGGGUGCUUUGAGAUUUUUCAUGAAUUGAAAGGGUGCCUCGCCUAAGAAAAGGUUGAGAAACACUGCCUUAUAACUUCUGCCAAUUUCAAUAUGCUGUUGUAUUGCUCACGCUACCCUUGACUUGUCAUUGCCUGCUCUCACUUGAUGCUGCAUUUUUUGACUCAGCCCUUUCUGAGAUCUGAGCUAUUCUAAUGGGGGCAGACUUUGCUUACAUUACAUUUUUUUUAACAUAGGCCUACUCCAAAUAUUAUCCCAAAAGGUAUAGCUGUUUGCUAGUUGUCUGCUGAUGUUGCAUAACCUUUUGGAUGUUAUUGGGAAUAAAUUGAGAUGUUUUUUUUUUUUAAUGUAAACAAACGCCUGCCCCCAUUACAAUGACCUGGAUCUCUGAAAGGUUUGAAGGGGGAAAAAAUCUCAGGUACUGACAAGUCCAGGGUAGUGUGAGCAUUACAACUGUAUGUCAAAAUUGGCAGAAGUUAUCAUUUAAGUUACACGGGUAGGGGGGGUGGUAAGUUAUACUUAGGGUUGUGGCUGCUGAGGGUAUGUAAACGUUUAUGUAAUCUUUUAUGCAAAGGAACAGUGCAAUGUUUGUAUGUAUUAUGAAUUGUGUUCUCUGGCUGAGAUGACUUCAUGGGUUCCUUUCUGGUAUUUUGUGCCUUCUUGCUGUCAGUCUGCAGCUACAAAAUCAAGUUACUUUACCUUACUGAUUGUGGGCACGCAGAAAGACCAGAGUGGCUUGCAUGAACUCGUCUCAGAUCAGACAACAACAUAGGAAGCGAUGGAUAUAUGGCUCAAACAUGUUUUCUUCACACCAUUUUACAGACCCGGUUGCAAACAGUACCAUGUUACUUAGAAAUGUCAAGCAUUGAUGUGCACUUUCAAUUAAAAGAUCAGUCGACCAUGUUUUCAUACUGAACUAUGUUGUAACAUAAAUCCAUCCUUUCCUAUGUUGAAUGAUGUACCUUAUUAAAAUGUUUAGAUGCCAGAGCUACACAACUUGCUGAUCAACACCUUUUGAAAUGCUCUGUUACAAACAGUAUCAUUUUACUAUGAAAUUUCCAACGUUAGCAUGUUUUUUGUUUAAUAAAACAAUUCACCACGUUUUACUGAACUUCUUCUCUGAUCUGAGACGUUCCUCUCUGGCCUUUGUGUGCCCCCAGUAAAUCUGUAGAAAAUUGCCACAUUUCAUUUAAAGGUGCACUGUGCAGGAAAUGGUCAAAAAAGGUAGGCCUACUGCAACUAUGCUGCUCAUUGAAACUGGGUUGCCUAUUGCCAAAUUUGAUCUUUUCACGAACGUUUACCAAGUAAAACUUUUCAAGUAAAAAACGUUUUCUAUUAUGGCCCAAGUACAGUCAUUUUUGCAGCUAAAAUGUCUAUUUCUAUAAAUUCAAAAUGGCGUACCAUGGAGAAGGUCCCCCUUUUCAUGUAUGAAAAGUGCAAUUUUCCCAGUCAUAAUGAAUACUUGGAAUUUGAUCGUGGUGGGUAAGUAUUCAUGAAAAAGGUAACAUUAGUGAAUGGGUUGCAUGAAUUCUGGAAAGAAACUAAAAAUCUUACACAUUGCAUCUUUACUACACCCGACUGAUUGUGGGCACAUGCAAAGACUAUAAAGAUGCUUGAA